This 574-nucleotide ribosomal RNA is filed under the name Lamproderma sauteri var. pulchrum. RNAcentral's name for it is "bacterial SSU rRNA". It matches the Rfam family "Eukaryotic small subunit ribosomal RNA", at positions 27 to 555 of the family's 1831-position model. The record is from RNAcentral. Lineage: Eukaryota; Evosea; Eumycetozoa; Stemonitida; Stemonitidae.
UAUGCUUCUCCUAAAGACUAAGCCAUGCAUGCCUUCGAAUAAGAGGAAGCAAUUCUCUCUGAAUCUGCGAACGGCUCCGCAAACCAGUUGUAAACUAUAGCAAGCAAGCUCAGGGCCGGCCUUCACGGGGCGGCUCGGGGCGAUAUGGAUAACCCUGGUAAUUCUGAGGCUAAUACAUGAGUGUAACCCCUGGAGGACCGGCUUCGGCUGGGAAUCUGGAGGAUGUGCGAUUGCAGGCUUGGUAACACCGGGAAAGGGCGCACGUUCAGAUCACGCUAAAAAGGUCGGGCCCCUUCGGGGGCCUGCCCCAGUGACUCUUGCUGUGUGCUUCUGACCUAUCAACUAGACGGCAGCGUAAGGGACAUGCUAUGGUGACAACGGGUACAGAGGAUUAGGGUUCGAUCCUGGAGAGUGGGCCUGAGAGAUUGCUCAUACUUCUAAGGAAGGCAGCAGGCGCGCAACGUUCCCCUUGGGCAAUGCCCGAGGGCGUUAGGGGACAUAUGAAUGCCUGCCCAUUGGGUGGGCAAUUCAAAUGGGUCUGUUCUAAACAGGCUCUCGAGUAACAAUUAGAGGA